GAUGCACGCUGACAGAAUGCUUAACACAUGCAAGUCAACUGUGGCGGACGGGUGAGUAACGCGUAAAGAACUUGCCUCACAGAUAGGGACAACAUUUGGAAACGAAUGCUAAUACCUGAUACUGUGAGAGAGCUUUGCGUCCCAUUAGCUAGUUGGAGAGGUAACGGCUGACCCAGGCGCUGAUGGGUAGCCGGCCUGAGAGGGUGAUCCGCCACAAGGGGACUGUGACACGGCCCUUACUCCAACGGGAGUCAGCAGUGGGGAAUAUUGGACAAAGGACCAAAGUCUGAUCCAGGAAUGCUGUGUGCACGAUGAAGUUUUCGGAAUGUAAAGUGCUUUCAGUAGGGAAGCGGUACCAACAGAAGAAGUGACGGCUAAAUACGUGCCAGCAGCCGCGGUAAUAC
RNAcentral lists this ribosomal RNA (404 nucleotides) under uncultured bacterium. RNAcentral describes it as "partial 16S ribosomal RNA". It matches the Rfam family "Bacterial small subunit ribosomal RNA", at positions 28 to 526 of the family's 1533-position model. The record is from RNAcentral.